UACGGAGGGUGCAAGCGUUAAUCGGAAUUACUGGGCGUAAAGCGCACGCAGGCGGUUUGUUAAGUCAGAGGUGAAAACCCCGGGCUCAACCUUGGAACUGCAUCUGAUACUGGCAAGCUUGAGUCUCGGAGAGGAGGGUAGAAUUCCAGGGGUAGCGGUGAAAUGCGUAGAUAUCUGGAGGAACACCGGUGGCGAAGGCGGCCCCCUGGACGGAAACUGACGCUCAGGUGCGAAAGCGUGGGGAGCAAACAGG
This 253-nucleotide ribosomal RNA is filed under the name uncultured bacterium. RNAcentral's name for it is "partial 16S ribosomal RNA". It matches the Rfam family "Bacterial small subunit ribosomal RNA", at positions 524 to 776 of the family's 1533-position model. The record is from RNAcentral.